GGUGACCGGACAGGCAUCUGGAAACGAGGAUCCUGCGUGCAGAGGGUUGCCCCACGGUCCUACUUGGUUGAGGUACAGGGAUCGCUAUACCACCGAAACAGGGUUGAUCUUCGGGCGGGAGAGCCAACUACACCACAGAACUCGGAGAGUCAAAUGCAGAGCAGCAUGCUGAGGGAGGUGCCCCCCUUAAACCAGGCGGGGGCUGAGGCACUGAUAGGGGAGCCGGGUGGUCACGCAGCAUGCGCUAUCCCACCUACACAAGCUGUCAACCCAGCUGUUGAUCCAAUGUCCACACCAACAAGGCCCCCAGCUAUGUCACGCUAUGGUCGGUUGACCAGGGCACCAAACAGACUUGAUCUGUAGUUUGAAUAGUCUGCCAUAAGGGUUUUGUUGUUUGAGUAAAAAAAAAAAAAAGAGGGGGCAGAUGAUAAUGUACUGUUAAUAAUGAGAAUGUUUAUUGUUGGUAUGAUGGAACUUGGUAUUUCAUUGUCGUAUUCAAUAGGCCUCAGUUCUAUGCCUAAGUUAUACAGGUAGCAUUACUUUCAUUAAGAAAAAGGAAGAUGUUGCAGGAUGCACUGCCACCCAGUGGUUGUUUACGUUCAGUACUACAUGUUGUCUUUACCCACUGUAACCUGUGCGUUACCACAACAUGAAUAGUCAAGUACACCAGCACUCUUGUGUCCUCAUUCUUGCAACAGUGCAAGCUGUCUCUCUGGAUGGCGGUCUCUCAAUUUAUGUCAGUCUUCUCAGACAGCCCACAAACAUUGGAAGACUUUCUGAUCAGAGACUGGAGCGGUGGUCCGGAGAGAGGAGGAUGUGGAGCCGGAGCUCGUCUGGGCGGCGGAGCGGGUCGGCAGCACCUGGUGUCGGUGUGUCCUGAGUCUAUCUGCUGUCAGGAGGCUGACCUGGACCAUACCAUGCGUGGUGAAGCAUGUGUAACAAAUGUUCGCACAUUUGGAGUACUGUGCCGGGAAGAGGACGUGCUGUCCCUGAAGGAUGUCCGAGCUGAAGGAUGUCCGAGCGGAGACACCGGAGCGUCCUGUCAACAGCAGUCUCUUUAGGUUGACUGCAUCCAGGCAGUUAACCCUUUGGGCCAGGGGGCAUUUGGGGAAGAAGAACAGGAUCCUGAUUCCAGCCUGUCAUCCACUCCAUCAGAGCUGUUUCCCCCUGAUUUACAGCUUGACCAUUUAUUUACUGAUGAACACUACUUCACCUAAGAGACUUGAGUAUCCGGUUCUUCGUUGACCUUCAGCAUUCAGUUGUUUGUCUUCACCUUUUCAGGCUAAAACCUGAGAAGCCAUCACCAUGUUGUUGUUUCACAUCAGAGUGUCCAGCAUCUUCAAGACAGACUAAGCUAACUUUUCAUAUUUUUUGCACAUUUAUAUUUAGGUUAGGUUAGGAGUAGGUAAGGUUUAUAGUAGAGUAUUUAGUUUGUAUAGUUUAGCUUUUUAUGCUUUUCUAGGGACAGUUAAGUUAGCAAAUCAAUUUAGUUAAGAUCAUUUACAGUUGCAUAUUAUUGUUACAAUUAUGUUAUUUUGUGAGUUAUUGUUGUACAGGCUAUAUUGCAGGACCAAGUGAGACGAGGAAGACCACUGCUUCCAAGAUGCCGCUCAGAAAGUGCGUUGGACAAGUCUCGACCUUGCAGAUCCUGCCCCACUUAGCCCAACCACUUCCGACCAUGGGGUACCUCAAAGACCUCCGUCAACCAGCCGGCUGUGGAUGAUGGAUAACGCACCCACAACUCCUUCUCCAGUCUACAAGGUUCUGAAAAUACCGACACCCCCACAGUCCAAGAACAGCUGGAUGACCUCUGGACCCACCUGCCCUCGUUCACCAGUUGAAAAGAUAGGCUUUUAAAAAAUUAUUCAAUUGUUAAUUCUGCACAAAGUGAUACACAAAACACUGUAUGUAUUCCAUUUCAACAAUCACAAACAUGAAAUGUAUAUUUAAAUACAUGACUUAAUGCAAAUCAAUCAUACUAACCAUCAUCUUUUUUUUUUUUUUUUAACCAACCUUUGCACACACUUCCAUCCAAGGAGAGGUUACAUCUUGAUGGUAACGUUUUAGAUUAACAAAACUUUUGUGAGAUUUGUAAUUGUUGUUUCUGGGGAGGGGGCGGAGAGGGUAAGUCUAAAUAUUGCAUGCAAGAGACCAACACCGGCGUCACAGGGGAAAGCUAUCUGAACACAACUAUCAAUCUACUUGGUUGCUUCAAAAUUUUACGAUAGUUUUGCAAAUCCUGACCCAGUGAGAAGCACAUCAAACAAACAAAAAAAGCAAUGGUAGAUUUUCAAGGCCUUUCAAUGACUUUAACAUUAUUUUCAAUAACAUUCAUUUUGCAAUUAACAGUAGUUUUAUCUUCUAAAACAUAGCUAUGAUGACAUUCAAAUGUAGAUUACCACAAACACAAUAAUAAACUUCAAGUCUCAUUGGAUAAAAUAAAAAAUUAUUGACAGUCCUGAAAUGAUGGGAUAAACAUCCUUAAUAAGCCCACAUUAAUGAUAUAUUAAUUUCAGGUGAAAUAUAUAUAUUUU
Molecule: long non-coding RNA, 2534 nt
Organism: Centropristis striata (black sea bass)
Lineage: Eukaryota; Metazoa; Chordata; Actinopteri; Perciformes; Serranidae
Exons: 7
Source: RefSeq, a predicted model, not a curated record